Molecule: long non-coding RNA, 568 nt
Organism: Oryzias melastigma (Indian medaka)
Lineage: Eukaryota; Metazoa; Chordata; Actinopteri; Beloniformes; Adrianichthyidae
Exons: 3
Source: RefSeq, a predicted model, not a curated record
UAUUCUGGUCUCUCUUUGCCUUGUGGCAUAGUGUAAAGUUAUGAGUCUAAGUACCUCAAGGCUGGACUGAUGUGGUCCAUGUUUUAGGUCUUAGUGAGAACUGGAGCAGGAGAGUUUGAAAUAUGCUCAUGAUGUUUUGAUUGAUUUUCCUCUCCGUUUUAUCAGGACAUCCAAGAGCAAGACAUUUCCUGGGAUGUUGCUGCAGACUUUGGAGAACGUGUAAAUGGUGCAAUAGUGGUCGCUGAGUCUCCAUGUCCAUUUACUGAAGAUCAGCUGGCUGAAGUGCAGCUAUUUAUCACAAAAAAGGUGUGUUUGAGAUGACUUGUGUCUCGCCUGGAGCGUCGACGAGACCAGACAGAGGCGGGAAAAGCUAAAAGAGAUAAAGGCAGACAGCGGGAGUGAACGAGAACAGGAGAGAUCUGAGAAGUCCCUGUAGGCCUUCAGUCUGUGAACCGGCUGGAGACGCCGGAUACAGUGAGCGGAGAACAGAAGAAGAGGAAUCUUUGACAGUCAACGAAAAUCCGAUGGACAACAGUGUGAUACAUCCAUAAACUAAAAUAUUGUUCGC